AUUUUCAAGUAAUUUGAGUGAUUAUAAUUUAUUAAUAAAUGAAAUAUUUAACUAUUUAUAAAUUAUUAAAUAUUGAUAAAAAGGAGAUGGGGGGAUUAAAAAAAAUUAACAAAAGUUAAAUUUAGCAAUUUAAGAGUAGAUUUUAAAAGUAGUGCCAGCAAUAGCGGUUAAACUAAUGUCUAAAUAAAUUGAAAAUAAAGAUAGAAUAAAUAUAAAUAAUUAUAAGUUAAAUAUAAUUUAUAAGGUUGAAUUUUAAAUUAUAUAAUAUUAUAAUAUAAAUAAUAAUUUUAAAAGUUAAGAGAAAAACUAGGAUUAGAUACCCUAUUAUUUUAAUAAUUUUAAAGUCUUAAAAAUUAAAUGUUUAAAUCAUUAAAUUUAAAGAUUUGGCGGCAUAUUAUUCCAAAUAGGGGAAUUUGUUUUUUAAUAGAUAAUACACAUAAAGAUAAACUAACUUUAUUUUUAAGUAUGGUUGUUUAAACUAUUUUUAUAAAAUGAUAUAAUGGUUUAGAAAUUUAAUAUAAUUAAAGUUCAAAUAGAUAUUUAGAAUAGGUUAGAAGGAAUUAGUUACAAUAAAUUAAAUUUAAAGAGAAAAAAAUGAAUGGAUAAUUUUUUUAAAUUUUUGAAAAAUUUGAAGGUGGAUUUAAAUGUAAAUUUAUAUAAUUUUAUAAAUUGAAUAGGUUUUAAUAUGUGUACAUAUUGCUCGUCAAUUUCAAUAGUAUUGAGGUAAGUCGAAACAAAGUAAAAAUAUUGGAAAAUGUUUUUAGUGU
Molecule: non-coding RNA, 767 nt
Filed under: Parevania sp. SJW-2015
Lineage: Eukaryota; Metazoa; Arthropoda; Insecta; Hymenoptera; Evaniidae
Source: RNAcentral